UACACGACCGUACCGCAAACCGACACUGGUGCGCGAGAUGAGUAUUCUAAGGCGCUUGAGAGAACUCAGGAGAAGGAACUCGGCAAAUUGACUCCGUAACUUCGGAAGAAGGUGUGCCUUUAGUAGGUGAACCAUUUACUUGGGGAGCCCAAUGAGGCUGCAAAAAAUCGGUGGCUGCAACUGUUUAUUAAAAACACAGCACUCUGCUAAGACGAAAGUCGACGUAUAGGGUGUGACGCCUGCCCGGUGCUGGAAGAUUAAAUGAUGGGGUGCAAGCUCUUGAUUGAAGUCCCAGUAAACGGCGGCCGUAACAAUAACGGUCCUAAGGUAGCGAAAUUCCUUGUCGGGUAAGUUCCGACCUGCACGAAUGGCGUAAUGAUGGCCACACUGUCUCCUCCUGAGACUCAGCGAAGUUGAAAUGUUUGUGAUGAUGCAAUCUCCCCGCGGAAAGACGGAAAGACCCCAUGAACCUUUACUGUAGCUUUGUAUUGGACUUUGAACAGAUCUGUGUAGGAUAGGUGGGAGGCUUUGAAGUGUGGUCUCUAGAUCGCAUGGAGCCAACGUUGAAAUACCACCCUGGUGUGUUUGAGGUUCUAACCUAGGUCCAUUAUCUGGAUCGGGGACAGUGCAUGGUAGGCAGUUUGACUGGGGCGGUCUCCUCCCAAAGUGUAACGGAGGAGUUCGAAGGUACGCUAGUUACGGUCGGACAUCGUGAUAAUAGUGCAAUGGCAUAAGCGUGCUUAACUGCGAGACUGACAAGUCGAGCAGAUGCGAAAGCAGGACAUAGUGAUCCGGUGGUUCUGUAUGGAAGGGCCAUCGCUCAACGGAUAAAAGGUACUCUGGGGAUAACAGGCUGAUACCGCCCAAGAGUUCAUAUCGACGGCGGUGUUUGGCACCUCGAUGUCGGCUCAUCUCAUCCUGGGGCUGUAGCCGGUCCCAAGGGUAUGGCUGUUCGCCAUUUAAAGAGGUACGUGAGCUGGGUUUAAAACGUCGUGAGGCAGUUUGGUCCCUAUCUUCCGUGGGCGCUGCAGAUUUGAGGAAGCCUGCUCCUAGUACGAGAGGACCGGAGUAGACGAACCUCUGGUGUAUCGGUUGUCACGCCAGUGGCAUUGCCGAGUAGCUAAGUUCGGAAGAGAUAACCGCUGAAAGCAUCUAAGCGGGAAACUCGUUUCAAGAUCAGAUCUGCCGGGGCCUUGAGCCCCCUAAAGAGUCGUUCAAGACCAGGACGUUGAUAGGUCAGGUGUGGAAGC
This 1250-nucleotide ribosomal RNA is filed under the name metagenome. RNAcentral describes it as "bacterial LSU rRNA". It matches the Rfam family "Bacterial large subunit ribosomal RNA", at positions 1635 to 2874 of the family's 2925-position model. The record is from RNAcentral.